CCCGCAUGUGGAAAGAAUGAUGAAGUUCAAGUGACUUUGAUGACUGACAUCCCACAGCUCCAAGAUUUUCCAGGGGUAGCACAGGUGCUGAUUUCCCAGUGGCAUGGUGAUCAGGCUUGGUGUCUAACUUCCAGAACCCAAUGUGUCUCUCACUACCAAAAGAUGCAUCCUCAGAGAAGAACGAUGAUGAGGACAAACCUGGUGAGCUCUUUGCUUCAGAUGGCAUGAUGAUUGAC
This 236-nucleotide unclassified non-coding RNA is filed under the name Hevea brasiliensis (rubber tree). The record is from RNAcentral. Lineage: Eukaryota; Viridiplantae; Streptophyta; Magnoliopsida; Malpighiales; Euphorbiaceae.